RNAcentral lists this ribosomal RNA (271 nucleotides) under Staphylococcus aureus. RNAcentral's name for it is "partial 23S ribosomal RNA". It matches the Rfam family "Bacterial large subunit ribosomal RNA", at positions 1120 to 1396 of the family's 2925-position model. Lineage: Bacteria; Bacillati; Bacillota; Bacilli; Caryophanales; Staphylococcaceae. The record is from RNAcentral.
CAUUUAAAGAGUGCGUAAUAGCUCACUAGUCGAGUGACACUGCGCCGAAAAUGUACCGGGGCUAAACAUAUUACCGAAGCUGUGGAUUGUCCUUUGGACAAUGGUAGGAGAGCGUUCUAAGGGCGUUGAAGCAUGAUCGUAAGGACAUGUGGAGCGCUUAGAAGUGAGAAUGCCGGUGUGAGUAGCGAAAGACGGGUGAGAAUCCCGUCCACCGAUUGACUAAGGUUUCCAGAGGAAGGCUCGUCCGCUCUGGGUUAGUCGGGUCCUAAGC